RNAcentral lists this ribosomal RNA (478 nucleotides) under uncultured bacterium. RNAcentral's name for it is "bacterial SSU rRNA". It matches the Rfam family "Bacterial small subunit ribosomal RNA", at positions 28 to 483 of the family's 1533-position model. The record is from RNAcentral.
GACGAACGCUGGCGGCGUGGAUAAGACAUGCAAGUCGAACGAUCAUUAGCGGGUAGCAAUAUUCGCUGGUGAGAGUGGCGCAAGGGUGCGUAACACGUGGGUAAUUUGCCGCGAAGUUGGGGAUAACUCGCUGAAAGGCGAGCUAAUACCGGAUGUGAUUGUCGGGUGGCAUCAUCUGACAAUCAAAGUUGGGGACCGCAAGGCCUGACGCUUCGCGAUAAGCCCGCGGCCUAUCAGCUAGUUGGCGGGGUAACGCCCACAAGGCGAAGACGGGUAGCUGGUCUGAGAGGACGACCAGCCACACUGGAACUGAGAGACGGUCCAGACACCUACGGGUGGCAGCAGUCGAGAAUUUUUCUCAAUGGGGAAACCCUGAAGGAGCGACGCGCGUGGGGGAUGAAGGGCUUCGGCCUGUAAACCCCUGUCAUUUGCGAACAAACCUCAUUCAUGAACAGUGGGUGAGCUGAUUGUAGCGAAA